GACGAACGCUGGCGGCGUGCUUAACACAUGCAAGUCGAACGCUGAAGCCCUGGCUUUUGUUGGGUUGCAUUAGUGGCGAACGGGUGAGUAACACGUGAGUAACCUGCCUUUUUCUUUGGGAUAACGCCCGGAAACGGGUGCUAAUACUGGAUAAUCUCUGAUCUCCGCUUGGGGGUUGGUGAAAGGGGGUGUUCUGGUGGGGGAUGGGCGCGGGGCCUCUCCGUUUGUUGGUGGGGUGAUUGCCUACAUAGGAUUUGACGGGUUGCUGGCCUGAGUGGGUGACCGGGGAACUUGGGACUGGGAUACGGGCCAGAGUGCUACAGGAGGCGGCAGUGGGGAAUAUUGGGCGAUGGGCGAACGCAUGAUGCAGCGGCGCGGCGUGAGGGAUGGAGGCCUGUGGGUUGGAAACCUCUUUCGCUAAUGGUCAAGCCGCAACUGGGGGUUGUGGUGAGGGUAGUGGGUAAAGAAGCGCCGGCUAACUACGUG
RNAcentral lists this ribosomal RNA (486 nucleotides) under uncultured bacterium. Its description in RNAcentral is "partial 16S ribosomal RNA". It matches the Rfam family "Bacterial small subunit ribosomal RNA", at positions 28 to 507 of the family's 1533-position model. The record is from RNAcentral.